GAUUUGAGCCGAACCGAUUCUUGCUCCUUUUUCGGGUUCAAGAGCAAACCCGAUCCUUUCCACGGGUUAGGAUCCAACCGUUACAAUAUGUUGAAGUUUUUAAAUCACACAAAAGAAAACUCUCUAAAAGAGUGAUUAUACAAUUUGAAGCUCACAAAUUUAAUCCUCACAAUACAAUAAGAAGCUCUCAAGAAUAAGAUGAAAAGAAUAAAAAUUGGAAGCUUUAGAGAGAAUAACAAUGUUGGCUUUUUGCUUGAGGAUUGUAAAGAUUUU
Molecule: long non-coding RNA, 273 nt
Filed under: Cucumis sativus (cucumber)
Lineage: Eukaryota; Viridiplantae; Streptophyta; Magnoliopsida; Cucurbitales; Cucurbitaceae
Description: long non-coding RNA (CSAT_LNC001831)
Source: RNAcentral